UACGUAGGGUGCAAGCGUUGUCCGGAAUUAUUGGGCGUAAAGAGCUCGUAGGCGGUUUGUCGCGUCUGCUGUGAAAACGCGAGGCUCAACCUCGCGCCUGCAGUGGGUACGGGCAGACUAGAGUGCGGUAGGGGAGAAUGGAAUUCCUGGUGUAGCGGUGGAAUGCGCAGAUAUCAGGAGGAACACCGAUGGCGAAGGCAGUUCUCUGGGCCGUAACUGACGCUGAGGAGCGAAAGCGUGGGGAGCGAACAGG
Molecule: ribosomal RNA, 253 nt
Filed under: uncultured bacterium
Lineage: Bacteria
Description: partial 16S ribosomal RNA
Rfam family: Bacterial small subunit ribosomal RNA
Source: RNAcentral